RNAcentral lists this ribosomal RNA (659 nucleotides) under Chrysochromulina elegans. RNAcentral describes it as "bacterial SSU rRNA". It matches the Rfam family "Bacterial small subunit ribosomal RNA", at positions 562 to 1229 of the family's 1533-position model. The record is from RNAcentral. Lineage: Eukaryota; Haptophyta; Prymnesiales; Chrysochromulinaceae.
AAAGCGCCUGUAGGUUGUUUAUUAAGUCUGUUGUUAAAGACUAGGGCUUAACCCUAGAAAAGCAAUGGAAACUAAUAGACUAGAGUAUGGCAGGGGUAGAGGGAAUUUCUAGUGUAGCGGUGAAAUGCGUAGAUAUUAGAAAGAACACCGGUGGCGAAAGCGCUCUACUGGACCAUUACUGACACUCAGAGGCGAAAGCUAGGGUAGCAAAAGGGAUUAGAUACCCCUGUAGUCCUAGCCGUAAACGAUGGAUACUAGAUGUUGUGCAUUAUGUACAGUAUCGUAGCUAACGCGUUAAGUAUCCCGCCUGGGGAGUACGCUCGCAAGGGUGAAACUCAAAGGAAUUGACGGGGGCCCGCACAAGCGGUGGAGCAUGUGGUUUAAUUCGAUGCAACGCGAAGAACCUUACCAGGGCUUGACAUACUACGAAUUCUUUUGAAAGAGAGAAGUGCCUUCGGGAAUGUAGAUACAGGUGGUGCAUGGCUGUCGUCAGCUCGUGUCGUGAGAUGUUGGGUUAAGUCCCGCAACGAGCGCAACCCUUAUUUUUAGUUACCAAUUCGUUGGGUUUUUUAGAAAGACUGCCGGUGACAAACCGGAGGAAGGUGAGGAUGACGUCAAGUCAGCAUGCCCCUUAUGUCCUGGGCUACACACGUGCUACA